GACGAACGCUGGCGGCGUGCUUAACACAUGCAAGUCGCACGGAGUGGCGAACGGGUGAGUAACACGUGGGUGACCUGCCCUGCACUUCGGGAUAAGCAUGGGAAACUGGGUCUAAUACCGGAUAGUGUGGGAUGGGCCCGCGGCCGCUCAGCUUGUUGGUGGGGUAAUGGCCUACGAAGGCGGCGACGGGUAGCCGGCCUAAGAGGGUGGACGGCCACAGUGGGACAGAGACACGGACCAGACCCCUCCGGGAGGCAGCAGUGGGGAAUAUUGCGCAAUGGGCGGAAGCCUGAUGCAGCGACGCAGCGUGGGGGAUGACGGCCUUCGGGUUGCAAACUCCUUUCACCAUCGGCGCGGUAGAUGGAGAAGAAGCACCGGCUAACUACGUGCCAGCAGCCGCGGUAAUUC
RNAcentral lists this ribosomal RNA (408 nucleotides) under uncultured bacterium. RNAcentral describes it as "partial 16S ribosomal RNA". It matches the Rfam family "Bacterial small subunit ribosomal RNA", at positions 28 to 526 of the family's 1533-position model. The record is from RNAcentral.